Molecule: long non-coding RNA, 322 nt
Filed under: Elaeis guineensis (African oil palm)
Lineage: Eukaryota; Viridiplantae; Streptophyta; Magnoliopsida; Arecales; Arecaceae
Description: long non-coding RNA (EGUI_LNC081073)
Source: RNAcentral
CCCAUCCGGUCUAAAGAGAACCGGGCCUUCGACUUUGCUUAAGUUAAGGCGAGAUUUUCCUCCUGUCCCUAACAGGGCUGUGGGAGUUCCCCUCUUGCUUUCGAUACAGUUUGUUUUGACUGCCCUGUCGAUAUAAGAUAGUGCCAAGAGGGGAGACAUGUAGAUAUGCAACUUUUAUUUAAAAUAAAGUUAUCGGUAAUACAUCCGUAAGUUUUUCGAGCUCCAUGGUCACGGGAGGUCUGCUCCUUCGAGCUCCUUGAGAUAAUAAGUUUCGGGCCGGACUACUUCUUUGACCUCAUACGGGCCUUUCCAGUUUGGGGCG